GAGAACCGCCCUAGGCCUGACAGCCAUGGGAGGAACUUCCGGACUCCACAGGGAAGCGCGCCACUUGAAAGGGUGGGACGUACGGGGUAAAAGCCGUACGGACGGAAAGUGCCGCAGAAAACAAACCGCCUUCGGGCAAGGGUGAAAAGGUGCGGUAAGAGCGCACCGCGCCUGCGGCGACGCAGGCGGCAGGGCAAACCCCGCGCGGAGCAAGGCCAAACAUGUCCAUACGUGUCCCGCGUCAGAGACAGAGUAGGCCGCUUAGAGUAAUGGUUCUCACGGCUCUUCGGAGCCGACAGAAUCCGGGGUAUGGGCCGU
This 318-nucleotide RNase P RNA is filed under the name pig gut metagenome. RNAcentral describes it as "Bacterial RNase P class A". It matches the Rfam family "Bacterial RNase P class A". Rfam says of the family: Ribonuclease P (RNase P) is a ubiquitous endoribonuclease, found in archaea, bacteria and eukarya as well as chloroplasts and mitochondria. Its best characterised activity is the generation of mature 5'-ends of tRNAs by cleaving the 5'-leader elements of precursor-tRNAs. Cellular RNase Ps are ribonucleoproteins. The record is from RNAcentral.